AUACAUAGGGGGCAAGCGUUAUCCGGAAUUACUGGGCGUAAAGCGCACGCAGGCGGUUUGUUAAGUCGGAUGUGAAAUCCCCGGGCUCAACCUGGGAACGGCAUUUGAUACUGGCAAGCUUGAGUCUCGUAGAGGGGGGUAGAAUUCCAGGUGUAGCGGUGAAAUGCGUAGAGAUCUGGAGGAAUCACGGUGGCGAAGGCGGCCCCCUGGACGAAACCUGACGCUCAGGUGCAAAAGCGUGGGGAGCAAACGGGUUUAGAUACCCGGUUGGUCCACGCCGUAAACGAUGUCGACUUGGAGGUUGUGCCCUUGAGGCAUGGCUUCCGGAGCUAACGCGUUAAGUCGACCGCCUGGGGAGUACGGCCGCAAGGUUAAAACUCAAAGGAAUUGACGGGG
RNAcentral lists this ribosomal RNA (396 nucleotides) under uncultured bacterium. RNAcentral describes it as "partial 16S ribosomal RNA". It matches the Rfam family "Bacterial small subunit ribosomal RNA", at positions 523 to 918 of the family's 1533-position model. The record is from RNAcentral.